This 453-nucleotide ribosomal RNA is filed under the name uncultured Streptococcus sp. RNAcentral's name for it is "bacterial SSU rRNA". It matches the Rfam family "Bacterial small subunit ribosomal RNA", at positions 28 to 465 of the family's 1533-position model. Lineage: Bacteria; Bacillati; Bacillota; Bacilli; Lactobacillales; Streptococcaceae. The record is from RNAcentral.
GAUGAACGCUGGCGGCGUGCCUAAUACAUGCAAGUAGAACGCUGAAGGAAGGAGCUUGCUCUUUCCGGAUGAGUUGCGAACGGGUGAGUAACGCGUAGGUAACCUGCCUUGUAGCGGGGGAUAACUAUUGGAAACGAUAGCUAAUACCGCAUAACAGUAGAUAUUGCAUGAUAUCUGCUUGAAAGGUGCAAUUGCAUCACUACCAGAUGGACCUGCGUUGUAUUAGCUAGUUGGUGAGGUAACGGCUCACCAAGGCGACGAUACAUAGCCGACCUGAGAGGGUGAUCGGCCACACUGGGACUGAGACACGGCCCAGACUCCUACGGGAGGCAGCAGUAGGGAAUCUUCGGCAAUGGACGGAAGUCUGACCGAGCAACGCCGCGUGAGUGAAGAAGGUUUUCGGAUCGUAAAGCUCUGUUGUAAGAGAAGAACGAGUGUGAGAGUGGAAAGUUC